RNAcentral lists this long non-coding RNA (2633 nucleotides) under Homo sapiens (human). RNAcentral's name for it is "HSALNT0311169". The record is from RNAcentral. Lineage: Eukaryota; Metazoa; Chordata; Mammalia; Primates; Hominidae.
GCUGCGACUGUACCACUGCACUCCAGCCUGGGUGACAGAGCAAGACCCUGUCUCAAAAAGAAAAAAAAGGUGAGGGCUAGGUAGACUUCAGGGAUGGCCACUAUCAAUUCCUUCCCAUCUCUGUGUCACUUUGCCCAUCCAGAGGUGGAGUCUGUCUCCUCUACGACUAGACUUGCUUUAGCCAACAGAAUGCAGCAGAGAUGAUAUGGUGCCCUUUCCAAAUCUGGCCUUUGAGAGGCUUGGAAGCUUUUGGGGUAAUCCAGCUGCCACAUGAGAAUUUGAAUACCCUGAGACCAACAUGCUGUGCAGAAGCCAGAGCUAGCCAUGUGCAGAGGCCACAUAGAGGAGCCCCAGGCACCAUUCAUGUAAGUGAAGCCCUCCUGAACAUUUCGGCUUAGGUGACAGCAGGAUGCGGCUGAGUCAGUGACCCCAGCGAAGGCCAAACGGAGCAGAAGAACCACCGGCUGAGACCUGCCCAAAUUUCUGACCUCCAGAAUUGACAAGAAGCCAGCUUUCAGAGAUUCUCCAGCCAUAACCAUCAUCAUCUGCUCAAUGCCCAACGUCUCUCUCCCAUGCUGCCUCCCUUUCUCUCACACACACAUAAAGUAAAUGAAAUAGUAAGUUCUCCCUGGCCUUCUCCAGCAGCCUAAUCUGGCAUCUGGGAUGCCUUAAACAUGUUCCUGGAUCAAUACCAUGUAGUUGUGUCCCAGGUCUACAAUACCAUGUAGAAACCUGUGUCCCGGGUCAUCUGUAAGAUCAUGAUUCGAAGGAUGGGUAAAUCAAUUCAGCAGGAAAUUGCUCUCCUUUCUGCCACAAAUAUCUCUCCUAGACAAUGGAUACUGGCUUCCCCUGAUCUUGUCACUCUAAAUCUGCUUCAGAGAUUUUGAUUGGAGAACAAAAGCCCAGGUGGGCGCUUGAGGAGCCACCUUCCCCUCCCCCAACAACCACCAUAAUGGUGCAAAGUUUAAGAAGAGUUCACUGGAAAACUCUGUUUAACCCGAUAGACUUUAAUUCCUUUUGGUAGCAGAUAAAUCAGGCCUGCCAUCAACAGACAGCUGAUCCUUACUCCCACCCACCACCCAGGAAAAUGCAUUUCUCUGCUCAGUAAGAAGGGAUAACCCAUCAGCAAGGUACCAGGUGUUCUUGAGGUGGGUUGUUUAGAAACCUUCCUCCUGGUGCUGCAGAAUUCUAACCCUGUUCAGGACUUUAUGUCCUCUGUUUAAGACUCAGAAUGUAUCUUCUUAUGGAUGAUGUGACCUGAAUAUCUGACAGGACAUUUUAGGGGGAUGGGCUGCAAUGGGGAACAGGGUACUGUCAUCACAGUAUCUUUGGAGCAAGAUCUAAGAUUAAAAUGUGGCUUCUCAUACUGACUGUGUGAAUUCAGACGCCUUACUUAAAUUUUAAAUUCUCUGAGCUCUGGGAAUUUAUAAAAUGGAAAUAAUGGCACAAACGCAUAGCUUGGUUGUAAUUGCAUUAUUCUCCCUGUAUUCCGACUUCUGUUUCACAGAUGGACCAAGGAUGUGAAAAGAUUUCAGGCAGGUUCUCUGUUUCCACGGUGGCAGGGAGGGUCAGGAUUGAUGAGGAGCCCUGGGGCCACAUGGGUCAGCUUUUGUGUUCCCUCUGUGGUGGUGGGAGCAUUUCUAAGAGGGCUUUGUUCCAGGGACCCAGCCUUCUUUUAGAGACUGAGACUAUUUUUAACCCAAGUUUUAGUGAUUCUGUAGGACAGCUGUUUAAGGGAAAUAUGUAGGCCAGUCUGUGAUUUUUGGAGUCAUCAUUUUAAGGUUAGGGAGUGGGAUGGGGGAAGAGAACCAGAAUAACUCUGGAGUUUCUGGAGGCAUCGCAGAGAUCUGCACCUACCCUGCAGAAAGCUGCAACCCAAUUUACUUUGUGGCCACUCUUGAGGAUCAGGACAUAGCUGAGCAGACUAAUAUUCUUUUGUUAUACUUCAAGUAAAGUGUAUCAGUUUCUGCCCAUUUUCUCUCCCAUGUGCUAUUACCAAAUCAUUAUGGAGAAAAAGUGGACAAGAAAGGCCCUCACACACUGUAAUGAGAACAAAAAUCAGUCCAGCUUUUCUUGAGUGCACUUCAACAAUAUCUGUUAAAACUGAAAAUGCACUCACCCUUGGAUCCAGCAUUCCCAUUUUUUGUUUUGGGCAGUCCUUUUCUCUUUUUUAUUGUUAGUUUUGAUUGUGGUAAAAUACAAAUAACAUAAAGUUGACCAUCUUAAUCAUUUUUAAGUAUACAAUUCAGUAGUGUUACGUAUGUUUGCAUUGUUGUGCCACAGAUCUCUAGAACUUUUCCAUCUUGCAAACUGGAAACGGCACCCACUGAACACCAGUCCCAUUUCCCCUUACCCACAGCCCCUGGAAGCCACCCUUCUACUUUGUCUCUGUGAAUUAACUACUCUAUUACCUCAUGUAAGUAGAAUCAUAUGUUGUUUGUCCUUUGGUGACUGGUUUAUUUCACUUACCAUAAUGCCCUCAAGGCCCGUCCCUGUUGUACCAGGGGUCAGAAUUUCCUAACUUUUAAAGGCUGAAUAAUAUUCCAUUGUAUGUAUAUAACCAGCAUUCCUACUUUUAAGAAUUUAUAUUAAAGAAACAUUUCUACAAGUUCCCAAAUAAACGUUUACUUCAG